Molecule: long non-coding RNA, 440 nt
Organism: Harpegnathos saltator (Jerdon's jumping ant)
Lineage: Eukaryota; Metazoa; Arthropoda; Insecta; Hymenoptera; Formicidae
Exons: 3
Source: RefSeq, a predicted model, not a curated record
GAACUGUGAAGUAUUAAGCUUCCCUCCGCUUUCGCCUCGCCUUCCCACUGAAAUCGUUUUCUCUUCCAUAUUGUUUUCAGAAGUCGUUGGGUAUACUUGGAUGUCCUAGUACUGAAAUCCGUUGCAAUCAAGCGUUUUUAAGGCGACUUAACAGUCUUCAACUCGUAGGAUGAGAGCUAAGUGGCGAAAGAAGAGGAUGCGCAGGCUAAAGCGUAAAAGGAGGAAGAUGCGUGCGAGGUCCAAGUAAACGACUUCCACAUGAUCUUCUGCAUAAGAAGAACAAAUCUAUAAAUUUACAUUGCUUGACGAACCAUCGUUGAAGCUGCAAGAAAAACUUUGCUUGUAACAAAUUUCAAUGGAUAUGUUUUUCCUGACAGAGGACAUUUUAUACAUUUAAUAUUGCAUUUGAAUAAAUACAAUCAUUUAAAGUUGAAUAUAAA